ACAUAAACAACAGCUUCAGAGACUUACUAGAAACAAUUUUUUUCUAGUUGCCUAGCUAGUAUCAGUGGCCACUGAAUGUACAAAACUUAAUCUAGCGACUAGCAUUAUCCUUGGUGGCAUCUUUCAUAUUCAUGAGCUGAAUAUUCACUUGAGGUUUAACUCUUCUAAAAUCAUUAGAAUCUGUCAAGUCUUUAAUAUAGUAUUAAAUUUAUGUGUCGCAAGUAAUUUUUGCUGGGUUUAUGAGCUGAGUAUUGUGAUUACACUGUGGUUUGCUGUAGUAUAGUUAUAACAUUUUCCCAUUAUAAAUGGGAGCAAGUAUGUCAAAUAAACAUUGCACAAUUUCAAAUCAGUCGAUUAAAGUUACUGUCUGUUUAGAGGACUUCUGAGUUGAUCUCAGCUUUUAAGUUCUAAAACUUGGCUUGAGCCUUUUAUCUUUAUGAACUUCUUGUACUUACUUUAGGAUCCUUCUGGUUUGCAGCACAAAGAUGUUACA
This 493-nucleotide unclassified non-coding RNA is filed under the name Hevea brasiliensis (rubber tree). Lineage: Eukaryota; Viridiplantae; Streptophyta; Magnoliopsida; Malpighiales; Euphorbiaceae. The record is from RNAcentral.